Molecule: ribosomal RNA, 268 nt
Filed under: uncultured bacterium
Lineage: Bacteria
Description: partial 16S ribosomal RNA
Source: RNAcentral
CUGCUGCCUUCCGUAGGAGUCUGGUCCGUGUCUCAGUACCAGUGUGGGGGACCUUCCUCUCAGAACCCCUACGCAUCGUCGCCUCGGUGGGCCGUUACCCCGCCGACUAGCUAAUGCGACGCAUGGCCAUCCUAUGCCGGAGUCGCCUCCUUUGACCCCAAAGAAGAUGUCUCCUAAAGGUGUUAUGCGGUAUUAGACGGAAUUUCUUCCGCUUAUCCCCCUGCAUAGGGCAGGUUCCAUACGUGUUACUCACCCGUGCGCCGGUCCG